GUGUAUUGGACUACCAUGGCAGUCACGGGUAACGGGGAAUUAGGGUUCGAUUCCGGAGAGGGAGCCUGAGAAACGGCUACCACUUCUAAGGAAGGCAGCAGGCGCGUAAAUUACCCAAUCCCAAUUCGGGGAGGUAGUGACAAGAAAUAACAACCUGGGGGGCUCUGCCCUUACGGGAUUGUAAUGGGAACAAUGUAAAAACUUUAUCGAGGAACAAUUGGAGGGCAAGUCUGGUGCCAGCAGUCGCGGUAAUUCCAGCUCCAAUAGCGUAUAUUAAAGUUGUUGCAGUUAAAAAGCUCGUAGUUGAAUUUCUGCACGUGCCCGGUUGUGGCUUCGGUCAGGCCGUGGCGCGUGCAUCCGUCUGCAAACCUAGACCGGCCUUCAUUGGUCGACUAGGGGAGUAGACCUUUUACCUUGAAAAAAUUAGAGUGUUUCUAGCAGGCAAUUGCUUGAAUACAUUAGCAUGGAAUAAUAGAAUAGGACUUUUGUCCAUUUCGUUGGUUAUUGGACAUUAGUAAUGAUUAAAAGGGACAGUUGGGGGCAUUAGUAUUUAAUUGUCAGAGGUGAAAUUCUUGGAUUUAUUAAAGACUAACUUAUGCGAAAGCAUUUGCCAAGGAUGUUUUCA
RNAcentral lists this ribosomal RNA (625 nucleotides) under uncultured ciliate. RNAcentral's name for it is "SSU rRNA". It matches the Rfam family "Eukaryotic small subunit ribosomal RNA", at positions 331 to 972 of the family's 1831-position model. Lineage: Eukaryota; Ciliophora. The record is from RNAcentral.